UACGGAGGGUGCAAGCGUUAUCCGGAUUCACUGGGUUUAAAGGGUGCGUAGGUGGGCAAGUAAGUCAGUGGUGAAAUCUCCGGGCUUAACCCGGAAACUGCCAUUGAUACUAUUUGUCUUGAAUACUGUGGAGGUCAGCGGAAUAUGUCAUGUAGCGGUGAAAUGCUUAGAUAUGACAUAGAACACCAAUUGCGAAGGCAGCUGGCUACACAAAUAUUGACACUGAGGCACGAAAGCGUGGGGGUCAAACAGG
This 253-nucleotide ribosomal RNA is filed under the name uncultured bacterium. RNAcentral describes it as "partial 16S ribosomal RNA". It matches the Rfam family "Bacterial small subunit ribosomal RNA", at positions 524 to 776 of the family's 1533-position model. The record is from RNAcentral.